This 459-nucleotide ribosomal RNA is filed under the name uncultured bacterium. RNAcentral's name for it is "partial 16S ribosomal RNA". It matches the Rfam family "Bacterial small subunit ribosomal RNA", at positions 338 to 794 of the family's 1533-position model. The record is from RNAcentral.
CCUACGGGUGGUAGCAGUGAGGAAUAUUGGUCAAUGGGCGCGAGCCUGAACCAGCCAAGUAGCGUGAAGGAUGACUGCCCUACGGGUUGUAAACUUCUUUUAUAAAGGAAUAAAGUGAGGCACGUGUGCCUUUUUGUAUGUACUUUAUGAAUAAGGAUCGGCUAACUCCGUUCCAGCAGCCGCGGUAAUACGGAGGAUCCGAGCGUUAUCCGGAUUUAUUGGGUUUAAAUGGAGCGUAGAUGGGUUGUUAAGUCAGUUGUGAAAGUUUGAGGAUCAACCGGAAAAUUGCAAUUGAUACUGGCAGCCUUGAGUACAGUUGAGGUAGGCGGAAUUCGUGGUGUAGCGGUGAAAUGCUGAGAUAGCACGAAGAACUCCGAUUGCGAAGGCAGCUUACUAAACUGCCACUGACAUUGAUGCUAGAAAGUGUGGGUAUCAAACAGGAUUAGAUACCCGAGUAGU